CUCUCUCUUUUUCUUCUCUCUUCUUUCUUCUUCUUCUACUCUCUCUCUCCCUCUUUUUUCUUUCAAAACUCAUCUCUCCCCAUACUAAACAUCCAACCUAUCGUUGGCUCUUCCCUAACCUACCGUCGGCUCUUUCGCAACUCCCAACUCUCAUCUUCUUCUCCUCUCUUUCUCCAACUCUUAGCUUUUCCUCUCUCUCUCUCCCC
Molecule: long non-coding RNA, 206 nt
Filed under: Elaeis guineensis (African oil palm)
Lineage: Eukaryota; Viridiplantae; Streptophyta; Magnoliopsida; Arecales; Arecaceae
Description: long non-coding RNA (EGUI_LNC074612)
Source: RNAcentral